AGGGAGUUUUUCCUUCCCACUGUCUGCUGUGUGCAUAUUGGCUCUAGAGCAGGGCUAUUCAACUAUAUUUUUCCUGGGGCCAAAUUUGUCAGAAUACUAUGAUCUGUGGGCCGGACAUUCACGUGACCUGUACUAUUACUCUUGGCUGU
Molecule: long non-coding RNA, 149 nt
Organism: Thalassophryne amazonica
Lineage: Eukaryota; Metazoa; Chordata; Actinopteri; Batrachoidiformes; Batrachoididae
Exons: 4
Source: RefSeq, a predicted model, not a curated record